GUGACCUCAAAUCAGGUAGGAUUACCCGCUGAACUUAAGCAUAUCAAUAAGCGGAGGAAAAGAAACUAACAAGGAUUCCCCUAGUAACUGCGAGUGAAGCGGGAAAAGCUCAAAUUUAAAAUCUGGCAGUCUUUGGCUGUCCGAGUUGUAAUCUAGAGAAGUGCUAUCCGCGCUGGACCGUGUACAAGUCUCCUGGAAUGGAGCGUCAUAGAGGGUGAGAAUCCCGUCUUUGACACGGACUACCAGGGCUUUUGUGAUGUGCUCUCAAAGAGUCGAGUUGUUUGGGAAUGCAGCUCAAAAUGGGCGGUAAAUUCCAUCUAAAGCUAAAUAUUGGCGAGAGACCGAUAGCGAACAAGUACCGUGAGGGAAAGAUGAAAAGAACUUUGGAAAGAGAGUUAAACAGUACGUGAAAUUGCUGAAAGGGAAACGCUUGAAGUCAGUCGCGUUGUCCAGGGAUCAACCUUGCUUUUGCUUGGUGCACUUUCUGGUUGACGGGUCAGCAUCAAUUUUGACCAUUGGAAAAAGGUCAGGGGAAUGUGGCAUCUUCGGAUGUGUUAUAGCCCUUGGUUGCAUACAAUGGUUGGGAUUGAGGAACUCAGCACGCCGCAAGGCCGGGUUUUUAACCACGUACGUGCUAGGAUGCUGGCAUA
This 650-nucleotide ribosomal RNA is filed under the name uncultured Cortinarius. RNAcentral's name for it is "eukaryotic LSU rRNA". It matches the Rfam family "Eukaryotic large subunit ribosomal RNA", at positions 1 to 633 of the family's 3401-position model. Lineage: Eukaryota; Fungi; Basidiomycota; Agaricomycetes; Agaricales; Cortinariaceae. The record is from RNAcentral.